AUUGAACGCUGGCGGCAUGCUUUACACAUGCAAGUCGAACGGCAGCGCGGGGGCAACCCUGGCGGCGAGUGGCGAACGGGUGAGUAAUAUAUCGGAACGUACCCAGAAGUGGGGGAUAACGUAGCGAAAGUUACGCUAAUACCGCAUACGAUCUACGGAUGAAAGUGGGGGGACCUUCGGGCCUCAUGCUUUUGGAGCGGCCGAUAUCUGAUUAGCUAGUUGGUGAGGUAAAGGCUCACCAAGGCGACGAUCAGUAGCUGGUCUGAGAGGACGACCAGCCACACUGGAACUGAGACACGGUCCAGACUCCUACGGGAGGCAGCAGUGGGGAAUUUUGGACAAUGGGGGCAACCCUGAUCCAGCAAUGCCGCGUGAGUGAAGAA
This 383-nucleotide ribosomal RNA is filed under the name uncultured bacterium. RNAcentral's name for it is "bacterial SSU rRNA". It matches the Rfam family "Bacterial small subunit ribosomal RNA", at positions 30 to 412 of the family's 1533-position model. The record is from RNAcentral.